AGAGGAAGCACAGCCCUUAAAUAAACUUUUAGAAUGGUCUAUUUUGGUUACUCUUAGCCCACGGCAAUUUGUUAUUCUUUGCAAAGCUAAAAACAUCUGCUCAUUGGACUAUUCAGAUAAGAGUGAAAAAAUGAAGAGCUGAUCUGGCGACAACACAGCCCGUGUUUUGGAAUCUGGGGCGACUAGAUCAGCUCAGGAGAACUGAUGUCACCGGCAGUUUGCUUUACAUUAAACCCUGAAGAACUGGUCACUUAAAAAGUGAUCCUCAGACUUCUAUUCAACUGCAAGCUCAAUUAGCUGAGAAGGAACAACUGCUGACUAUUUACUACAUGCCACUUUCAAGUACCUGACAGGCAUUACCUCCCUUAAUCCUCACUACUUUAAGAGGACUGAGAAUAGUUCCCCAUCAUGGACCGCAUGAAGCAAAAGUUCCUCUCUUACACUUUCAAGCGUCUGCUACCUCACUGUUCUUCAUUGCUCAAAAAUGCUGCUCAAGGCUUCUGAGCUGGCUUCCUCAGAGGAGAUGACAGUUCCCACUGUACAGAGGAUUAAAGUGACACCAGUGUGUGUGCAGACCGCCUGGG
This is a long non-coding RNA of Bubalus bubalis (water buffalo), 584 nucleotides long. RefSeq lists it as uncharacterized. The transcript is spliced from 3 exons. The record is from RefSeq and is a predicted model, not a curated record. NCBI's taxonomy places the organism in Eukaryota, Metazoa, Chordata, Mammalia, Artiodactyla, Bovidae.